GACGAACGCUGGCGGCGUGCUUAACACAUGCAAGUCGAACGGGUCUGCCCUGUUUUUUGCGGGGUGGGUCAGUGGCGAACGGGUGAGUAACACGUGAGUAACCUGCCCCUCACUUCUGGAUAACCGCUUGAAAGGGUGGCUAAUACGGGGUGUUCUGGCUGUGCCGCAUGGUGUGGCUGGGAAAGAUUCACUUUUGUGGUGUUUUGGUGGGGGAUGGGCUCGCGGACUAUCAGCUUGUUGGUGGGGUGAUGGCCUGCCAAGGCUUUGACGGGUAGCCGGCCUGAGAGGGUGGGCGGUCACACUGGGGCUGAGAUACGGCCCAGACUCCUGCGGGAGGCAGCAGUGGGGGGUAUUGCACAAUGGGCGGAAGCCUGAUGCAGCGACGUCGCGUGAGGGAUGGAGGCCUUCGGGUUGUGAACUGCUUUCGCCGGUGAAGAAGGUCCUGCUCUUUGUGGUGGGGUUGACGGUAGCCGGGUUAUGAAGCGCCGGCUAACUACGUG
This 500-nucleotide ribosomal RNA is filed under the name uncultured bacterium. Its description in RNAcentral is "partial 16S ribosomal RNA". It matches the Rfam family "Bacterial small subunit ribosomal RNA", at positions 28 to 507 of the family's 1533-position model. The record is from RNAcentral.